UACGUAGGGUGCAAGCGUUGUCCGGAAUUAUUGGGCGUAAAGCGCACGUAGGCGGACUCUUAAGUCGGUGGUGAAAUCCUGGAGCUCAACUCCAGAACUGCCUUCGAUACUGAGAGUCUCGAGUCCGAGAGAGGUGAGUGGAACUGCGAGUGUAGAGGUGAAAUUCGUAGAUAUUCGCAAGAACACCAGUGGCGAAGGCGGCUCACUGGCUCGGUACUGACGCUGAGGUGCGAAAGCGUGGGGAGCAAACAGG
Molecule: ribosomal RNA, 253 nt
Filed under: uncultured bacterium
Lineage: Bacteria
Description: partial 16S ribosomal RNA
Rfam family: Bacterial small subunit ribosomal RNA
Source: RNAcentral